Molecule: ribosomal RNA, 448 nt
Filed under: uncultured bacterium
Lineage: Bacteria
Description: SSU rRNA
Rfam family: Bacterial small subunit ribosomal RNA
Source: RNAcentral
AGAGCGAACGCUGGCGGCAUGCUUAACACAUGCAAGCCGCACGAGGGGGCAACCUCUAGUGGCGGACGGGUGAGUAACGCGUAGGUAUCUAUCCUGGGGUGGGGGAUAACGGCUGGAAACGGCUGCUAAUACCGCAUGACACCUGAGGGUCAAAGGCGCGAGUCGCCUUGGGAGGAGCCUGCGUCCGAUUAGCUUGUUGGUGGGGUAAAGGCCUACCAAGGCGACGAUCGGUAGCUGGUCUGAGAGGAUGAUCAGCCACACUGGGACUGAGACACGGCCCAGACUCCUACGGGAGGCAGCAGUGGGGAAUAUUGGACAAUGGGGGAAACCCUGAUCCAGCAAUGCCGCGUGAGUGAAGAAGGUCUUCGGAUUGUAAAGCUCUUUCGGCGGGGACGAUGAUGACGGUACCCGCAGAAGAAGCCCCGGCUAACUUCGUGCCAGCAGCCGC